CGUCCGCCGCCGGUUACCCGGCAGGCAAGAUGACAUUAACACUCAGUUUUACUAUAUGACUUCUAAAACUACUAGUUUAUUAUAUUAGUGAAUGUUUCAUGUCAAUUGUUGUUUAGUGUUAUCGAUUAGACUUAGGUAGACGGUUGUUUAUAGGUAAAUCUAGCAGCCAUCCAACAUGCCGGACUGGUUGUGGCUCCUGGCGGCGGCCGUGUUUGGAGCCGUGGCGGCGCUGACCAUCCCCCUGGUGUUCCUGGUGCACUACAUGCGGCCCUUCGAGAAGAAGAAGCAGCCCGACCACCAGUACAGCUUGCCUGUCACGAUACCUCCUGAAAUCCUCACAGAACUGAGUCGAGGCGCAGGCAGCACCCCGGAAGGCGCUCUGAACGCGAUGCUGCAGUUCAUCUUCCAGCAAAGCACCGCCGACACCCGCUGGCUGCGACGCCGCAUGGCCACGGAACUAGCAGAGCUGCUCGCCAAGACAUCCUCUGGGAAGAUCUUCGAGUCCUUGACUCUCCGUUCCCUAGAAGUGGGCUCAGAGUUUCCGAGCAUCAAUAACUUGCGUCUUCUUAGCGGCGAGUUGGAAGACGACGGAGCAAGACUGCGGUCCUUAGACUUGAAGUUCGACUUGGCGUACGACGGCAACUUCAGAAUCGAUGUUGACGCUGUUAUGCUGCUAGGAAAGAUUGCUAACAUAUCUAUUACUGUGGAAAGCCUAAGCGGUAAUGUACGAGUAAUGUUCCGUCGUACACCUUACAUGCAUUGGGCGAUCGCGUUCGAGGCACCGCCGAAGCUGGAGCUCCGGGUACGAGGCCGCUUCCAAGGCAGACAGCUCAAGCCUAGAUUGGCUUCGUUGGUCGCCGCGCACAUACGCAGAGCCGUCGCACAAAGACAUACGCUUCCAAAUUACAAAAUACGAUACAAACCGUUCUUCCCAAAGUCAGAGCCGGGUAGCGCAGAAGGCGAGGAGGGCCCGACCCCGCACGGCAAGCUGACCGUGCGGCUGGUGGAGGUGACCCGACUGCAAUGGGCAGGCACCAGCGCCACUGUGCGCGCGGCGCUGGCUGUGGACUCGCACGGCUGGGUAUCUCUCCGCCGAGGCGUGCUAGUCCUAGACAUAGUGUUGCCAGCAGUGAGCGGGCCGCUGGGCCUCGUGUGUUGCCAGGGUGUGGGCGUGGUUCUGGUAGAUACUGUGGUGCCGAUGUCACCGGCCUACCGCGCUGACUUGCGCAGAGAUGACGUCGUGCUCGCCAUAGAUAAUAAACCUGUCAAUAAUGUUGCUCAGGUAGGCAAACUUCUUCGCUGCGUAGAGCGGCGCGCAGUGACAGUGCGCGUACGUCGCGGAGGCAAUACGAGCACGGCUCGACGGGAAGAAUUGACGGAGCCCAAGCGCAUGCGCGCCAACUUUUCCUUCCGACGUGUGUCGGAAGUUAUGGAGGGUGUAAGAAUGCAAGGAAUGCGGUCUGCCGUUUCUAAAACUAGUUUACAGGAUGCAGAAGGCUCCCCAGCAAAAUCCCCAGAACCAAAAGAGAUUGAGGAACCGAAACAGAAAGCCGAGCCCGUUCGACAGUUGUCGAAGAGUUCCGAAGCGCCAGGAAACUUCGGUCUUCGCAAGCGGCGAUGUUCCGUCGAGAACAAAUCUUCCGACAGUUCUGCCGGAAGCACGCCCCCUGCCUCUGGAGCAAGCACCCCUCUCAGACAAGCCAAUGCUACCAACAAAACCGUCAAACAUCCAGACAUACCUAUCAUAAGAACAGAUUCCUCAGAAUGCAGAGUGUCAGAAAAAGUCGAUACAGGCCCCGAAGAAGAAGAACAAUUAUUUGAAACAGGAGGCCCAAGACAAACAGAACACGUAGAAAUAUGCCAAAUGUUUUGGACUAAAAACGUGCAAAUAAAACCCAUAAUACCUUUCGACGAAGAAACAGAAUUCAAAUUGAAUGAGAAUCAUAAAUAUUUGAAUUUAAACGUGUGGGCCACGGUGCCGGGGGAGAAAGAGGAAGUUUUGUUAGGAUAUUUGAAUAUACCGCUCGCGGCGUUGCUGAGUGAAUGUCAGGACUCUACGGUCCCACAUCAUAUGAAGAGAUACCAGUUUCUACCACCUGAUGUUGAUAUUAAGUUUAGCAAAACCCACAAGCUAGCGUCACACGCGGGGUUUGAACCUUGCCUCUGCUUCGGCGACGCGCUAGUAUGGUGGGAAUGGGAGGGAGCCGGCAACGCUAGGAGUAUACCGCGAGCGCCUUCCAAGGACAGGGACACCCCUCCGCGGCCUAAACCUAUCAGAGCGGCCCAUGACUUUGUGCGCACACACUUCCAUAGGUCGACGCAAUGCGAUUUUUGUAAUAAGAAGAUUUGGCUGAAAGAUGCAAUGCAGUGCCGCAGCUGCGGAUUGUGCUGUCAUAAGAAAUGCGUCACCAAAUGCCAGGAGUCUUCGCCGUGCGUGUCCAAACAGGACCGAGAUUCAUCAGCAGGCAGCGGAAUGCAGCCACCAGAGCUGAUCAUGACCGAGGCAGACUCCAUCGCCGACCCUGACUCCGACGAGGAGGCCUCAGAGAGGAAGGACUCUCUUGACGUGCACGAAGAAGGCGGGGGCACUAUGAGUGCCCUGGUGGCCGGGCUCCGCCGCGCGGGGUCCGCGCACUCGCUGACGGCUCCGAAGACAUGUGCCUCUUCGCGAUCCCUCCCGCCCUCUCCGAGUCACACCCCCAGAUAUUAGACGACACGCAGCGGUUGCACCUAGUUCUAACCGUGACCGGCAUCAGGGUGAAGCAGGAAGCAGUCGCUGGAGCAAGGGAACCCGUUCGCGGGCUGCGGCGCCACGUGGCUGCAGCGUGG
Molecule: unclassified non-coding RNA, 2829 nt
Filed under: Pectinophora gossypiella (pink bollworm)
Lineage: Eukaryota; Metazoa; Arthropoda; Insecta; Lepidoptera; Gelechiidae
Description: pDZ domain-containing protein 8
Source: RNAcentral